Molecule: unclassified non-coding RNA, 216 nt
Filed under: uncultured fungus
Lineage: Eukaryota; Fungi
Description: sequence contains ITS2
Source: RNAcentral
AACGCACAUUGCGCCUCCCGUCACAGGGAGGCAUGCCUGUCUGAGCGUCGUUUAAACCCAUAAAUCCGUCCGGAUUUGUGUUGGGCUCUGCAUGCGCUCGCAUUGCCUGAAACGCAUGUGUCGAAACGUGGACGAGUUCCUUUCUGGACGCGCCGCGGGAUGACCCGACAUUUCAUGUUUGGCCUCAGAUCAGGUAGGGACACCGCCUGAACUUAA